Molecule: ribosomal RNA, 216 nt
Filed under: Glomeromycotina sp.
Lineage: Eukaryota; Fungi; Glomeromycota
Description: partial small subunit ribosomal RNA
Rfam family: Eukaryotic small subunit ribosomal RNA (bases 40-216)
Source: RNAcentral
GGGUCAGUAGGUUGGUCGUGCCACCGGUACGUACUGGUCUCACUGAUUCCUCCUUCCUGAAGAACCGUAAUGCCAUUAAUUUGGUGUUGCGGGGAAACAGGACCGUUACUUUGAAAAAAUUAGAGUGUUUAAAGCAAGCUAACGCUUGAAUACAUUAGCAUGGAAUAAUGAAAUAGGACGAUCGAUCCUAUUUUGUUGGUUUCUAGGAUUGACGUG